AGUGAACGCUGGCGGUAGGCCUAACACAUGCAAGUCGAACGGCAGCACAGUAAGAGCUUGCUCUUACGGGUGGCGAGUGGCGGACGGGUGAGGAAUACAUCGGAAUCUACUUUUUCGUGGGUGAUAACGUAGGGAAACUUACGCUAAUACCGCAUACGACCUACGGGUGAAAGCAGGGGAUCUUCGUACCUUGCGCGAUUGAAUGAGCCGAUGUCGGAUUAGCUAGUUGGCGGGGUAAAGGCCCACCAAGGCGACGAUCCGUAGCUGGUCUGAGAGGAUGAUCAGCCACACUGGAACUGAGACACGGUCCAGACUCCUACGGGAGGCAGCAGUGGGGAAUAUUGGACAAUGGGCGCAAGCCUGAUCCAGCCAUACCGCGUGGGUGAAGAAGGCCUUCGGGUUGUAAAGCCCUUUUGUUGGGAAAGAAAAGCAGCAGGUUAAUACCCCGCUGUUCUGACGGUACCCAAAGAAUAAGCACCGGCUAACUUCGUG
RNAcentral lists this ribosomal RNA (492 nucleotides) under uncultured bacterium. RNAcentral describes it as "partial 16S ribosomal RNA". It matches the Rfam family "Bacterial small subunit ribosomal RNA", at positions 29 to 507 of the family's 1533-position model. The record is from RNAcentral.